GAGGCACGGUGAAACUUGAUAAUAUGCCACAAGUCAUGCUCAGCAUAAUCAAACAGCAGCCAAACCUUUCUGUCACUGUGAGAAAGGAAAACCUUCUGUAAUGCAAUCACAUUAGGGUGCUUCAACUCUCGUAAAAGUGCAAUCUCUCUACAGGCCGACAUGGAUAUCCCUGUACCUUCAAUUUGCUUCAGUGCAUAUUCCUUUUCAUCUUUUCCGUCCUUGCGGCGGGCCUUGUAGACGUGCCCGUAGGUGCCUCUGCCCACUUUGCAGCCCUCGUACUCGAACAGAUCCUCCACCCGCUCGCGCUCGGCCGCCAGCUUCGACUUGAACUCGUAGUCCAUGUCUCGCCCAUGGGCGGGGAGGGACGGGAGGGGGACGCGGCGCCGGAUCAGCACCCCCGGCCAGCGGAGCCCCCUCCCGGCGCCGCCAUUUCCGGGGCUCGCUGG
This 446-nucleotide long non-coding RNA is filed under the name Gallus gallus (chicken). Lineage: Eukaryota; Metazoa; Chordata; Aves; Galliformes; Phasianidae. The record is from RNAcentral.